GAAACAAACAAACAAACAAACAAACAAACAAAAAGGAGAGAGAGAUAACAGUUAAAUCAGAUACUUAUUACUAUUGAAGUAUAAAAAAAUAACAUUGGAACAUUGGAACAAUUGUAAUUCUUUAAUAUUUCCUUUGAAAGAACACUGAAUAAAAAAAAAUUCCUUCACUUUUAAAGCUGCCUGGAGAUUUACAGGUGUAUAAAGAGACAGAUAUGUCAAAAUACUUCUAAUAACAUUAGUGUUCUCUGGAACUGUCAUCAUGAAAACAACUGCCUACACUGCUACAACAGAUACAAAUUGUCCCUAAAAACAUUUUCACUUCAUGAAAUAAACAUGUAGUUACGUACAGUUAUCAUUCCAGAUGAACACAAAUAAUGAAGGAAAGAGAAUGCAGAACUGAAAGAUGGGAAGAGGAUUAUGCUGCUGAACCAAGACUUCCUCCAGAAUCCAAGUGCCUGAAAACAGGAUCAUUAAUUUCUGAAAAAGAUAAAAGUUUUGCCUUAUGGCAUUUGGAUUACAUACAAGGCAGAAGAAAUUAA
This 539-nucleotide long non-coding RNA is filed under the name Coturnix japonica (Japanese quail). RNAcentral describes it as "lncRNA (ENSCJPG00005009885.1)". Lineage: Eukaryota; Metazoa; Chordata; Aves; Galliformes; Phasianidae. The record is from RNAcentral.